This 66-nucleotide transfer RNA is filed under the name Anopheles sacharovi. Its description in RNAcentral is "tRNA-Tyr". It matches the Rfam family "tRNA". From Rfam's summary of the family: Transfer RNA (tRNA) molecules are approximately 80 nucleotides in length. Their secondary structure includes four short double-helical elements and three loops (D, anti-codon, and T loops). Further hydrogen bonds mediate the characteristic L-shaped molecular structure. tRNAs have two regions of fundamental functional importance: the anti-codon, which is responsible for specific mRNA codon recognition, and the 3' end, to which the tRNAs corresponding amino acid is attached (by aminoacyl-tRNA synthetases). tRNAs cope with the degeneracy of the genetic code in two manners: having more than one tRNA (with a specific anti-codon) for a particular amino acid; and 'wobble' base-pairing, i.e. permitting non-standard base-pairing at the 3rd anti-codon position. Lineage: Eukaryota; Metazoa; Arthropoda; Insecta; Diptera; Culicidae. The record is from RNAcentral.
GAUUAAAUGGCUGAAGUUUAGGCGAUAAAUUGUAAAUUUAUUUAUGGGAAAUGUUCUCUUUAAUCA